AAUAGAUACCCUGGUAGUCCACGCCGUAAACGAUGAGUGCUAAGUGUUAGAGGGUUUCCGCCCUUUAGUGCUGCAGCUAACGCAUUAAGCACUCCGCCUGGGGAGUACGGCCGCAAGGCUGAAACUCAAAGGAAUUGACGGGGGCCCGCACAAGCGGCGGAGCAUGUGGUUUAAUUCGAAGCAACGCGAAGAACCUUACCAGGUCUUGACAUCCUCUGCCACUCCUAGAGAUAGGACGUUCCCCUUCGGGGGACAGAGUGACAGGUGGUGCAUGGUUGUCGUCAGCUCGUGUCGUGAGAUGUUGGGUUAAGUCCCGCAACGAGCGCAACCCUUGUUCUUAGUUGCCAGCAUUCAGUUGGGCACUCUAAGGAGACUGCCGGUGACAAACCGGAGGAAGGUGGGGAUGACGUCAAAUCAUCAUGCCCCUUAUGACCUGGGCUACACACGUGCUACAAUGGAUGGUACAAAGGGCUGCGAAACCGCGAGGUUAAGCCAAUCCCAUAAAACCAUUCUCAGUUCGGA
Molecule: ribosomal RNA, 522 nt
Filed under: uncultured bacterium
Lineage: Bacteria
Description: bacterial SSU rRNA
Rfam family: Bacterial small subunit ribosomal RNA
Source: RNAcentral